AACGCGAAGAACCUUACCAGGCCUUGACAUGCAGAGAACUUUCCAGAGAUGGAUUGGUGCCUUCGGGAACUCUGACACAGGUGCUGCAUGGCUGUCGUCAGCUCGUGUCGUGAGAUGUUGGGUUAAGUCCCGCAACGAGCGCAACCCUUGCCUUUAGUUGCCAGCAGUUCGGCUGGGCACUCUAAAGGGACUGCCGGUGUUAAACCGGAGGAAGGUGGGGAUGACGUCAAGUCCUCAUGGCCUUUAUGACCAGGGCUACACACGUACUACAAUGGCCGAUACAAAGGGCAGCGACACUGCGAGGUGAAGCCAAUCCCGUAAAAUCGGUCUCAGUCCGGAUUGGAGUCUGCAACUCGACUCCAUGAAGUUGGAAUCGCUAGUAAUCGUGGAUCAGCAUGCCACGGUGAAUACGUUCCCGGGCCUU
RNAcentral lists this ribosomal RNA (424 nucleotides) under uncultured Desulfobulbus sp. RNAcentral's name for it is "bacterial SSU rRNA". It matches the Rfam family "Bacterial small subunit ribosomal RNA", at positions 958 to 1382 of the family's 1533-position model. Lineage: Bacteria; Pseudomonadati; Thermodesulfobacteriota; Desulfobulbia; Desulfobulbales; Desulfobulbaceae. The record is from RNAcentral.